Molecule: small RNA, 122 nt
Filed under: Providencia stuartii
Lineage: Bacteria; Pseudomonadati; Pseudomonadota; Gammaproteobacteria; Enterobacterales; Morganellaceae
Description: STnc490 Hfq binding RNA
Rfam family: STnc490 Hfq binding RNA
Source: RNAcentral
AACCCCAGAUAGGUUGGGGGGCCGUAAAGCUUUCAGCUUUGAAUAAGAUAUAAAACCCCCUUUUGAUUUGUUAAAACAUCUUGCGGCCUGGCAACGGCAAGAGUCAAACAAGAAAUCAAAAG